Molecule: ribosomal RNA, 405 nt
Filed under: uncultured bacterium
Lineage: Bacteria
Description: bacterial SSU rRNA
Rfam family: Bacterial small subunit ribosomal RNA
Source: RNAcentral
UGGGGAAUCUUGCGCAAUGGGCGAAAGCCUGACGCAGCAACGCCGCGUGCGGGAAGAAGGCUCUCGGGUUGUAAACCGCUUUCAGCAGGAACGAAAAUGACGGUACUUGCAGAAGAAGGUGCGGCCAACUACGUGCCAGCAGCCGCGGUGACACGUAGGCACCAAGCGUUGUCCGGAUUUAUUGGGCGUAAAGAGCUCGUAGGCGGUUCGGUAAGUCGGUUGUGAAAACUUGGGGCUUAACCCCAAGCCUGCAUCCGAUACUGCUGUGACUAGAGUUCGGUAGGGGAGUGGGGAAUUCCUAGUGUAGCGGUGAAAUGCGCAGAUAUUAGGAGGAACACCGGUGGCGAAGGCGCCACUCUGGGCCGAUACUGACGCUGAGGAGCGAAAGCGUGGGUAGCAAACAGG